RNAcentral lists this ribosomal RNA (473 nucleotides) under uncultured organism. RNAcentral describes it as "partial 16S ribosomal RNA". It matches the Rfam family "Bacterial small subunit ribosomal RNA", at positions 334 to 798 of the family's 1533-position model. The record is from RNAcentral.
CACUCCUACGGGAGGCAGCAGUGGGGAAUUUUGGACAAUGGGCGAAAGCCUGAUCCAGCAAUGCCGCGUGAGUGAAGAAGGCCUUCGGGUUGUAAAGCUCUUUUGUCAGGGAAGAAACGGUGAAAGCUAAUAUCUUUUGCUAAUGACGGUACCUGAAGAAUAAGCACCGGCUAACUACGUGCCAGCAGCCGCGGUAAUACGUAGGGUGCAAGCGUUAAUCGGAAUUACUGGGCGUAAAGCGUGCGCAGGCGGUUUUGUAAGUCUGAUGUGAAAUCCCCGGGCUCAACCUGGGAAUUGCAUUGGAGACUGCAAGGCUAGAAUCUGGCAGAGGGGGGUAGAAUUCCACGUGUAGCAGUGAAAUGCGUAGAUAUGUGGAGGAACACCGAUGGCGAAGGCAGCCCCCUGGGUCAAGAUUGACGCUCAUGCACGAAAGCGUGGGGAGCAAACAGGAUUAGAAACCCUGGUAGUCCCAU